RNAcentral lists this ribosomal RNA (462 nucleotides) under uncultured bacterium. RNAcentral's name for it is "partial 16S ribosomal RNA". It matches the Rfam family "Bacterial small subunit ribosomal RNA", at positions 28 to 507 of the family's 1533-position model. The record is from RNAcentral.
GAUGAACGCUGACAGAAUGCUUAACACAUGCAAGUCGAUGGGAAGUGGUGCUUGCACCAUGGUAACCAUGGCGGACGGGUGAGUAACGCGUAAGGAACUUGCCUGCGGGACUGGGAUAACAGCAGGAAACUGCUGAUAAUACCGGAUAAGGUCAUUAAGCUGCAUAGCUUAGUGAUGAAAGGAGACGCCUGCGGAGAGCCUUGCGUCCUAUUAGCUAGUUGGAGGGGUAACGGCCCACCAAGGCGAAGAUAGGUAGCCGGCCUGAGAGGGUGGACGGCCACAAGGGGACUGAGAUACGGCCCUUACUCCUACGGGAGGCAGCAGUGGGGAAUAUUGGACAAUGGGGGCAACCCUGAUCCAGCAAUUCUGUGUGCACGAAGACGGUUUUCGGAUUGUAAAGUGCUUUCAGCAGGGAAGAAGGAAGUGACGGUACCUGCAGAAGAAGCGACGGCUAAAUACGUG